This 594-nucleotide ribosomal RNA is filed under the name Chroococcidiopsis sp. NTRI16. RNAcentral's name for it is "bacterial SSU rRNA". It matches the Rfam family "Bacterial small subunit ribosomal RNA", at positions 192 to 805 of the family's 1533-position model. The record is from RNAcentral. Lineage: Bacteria; Bacillati; Cyanobacteriota; Cyanophyceae; Chroococcidiopsidales; Chroococcidiopsidaceae.
GCCCUUGGGUGAAAUAUUGUAUAGCCAAAAGAGGAGCUCGCGACCGAUUAGCUAGUUGGUGGGGUAAGAGCCUACCAAGGCUGCGAUCGGUAGCCGGUUUGAGAGGACGACCGGCCACACUGGGACUGAGACACGGCCCAGACUCCUACGGGAGGCAGCAGUGGGGAAUUUUCCGCAAUGGGCGAAAGCCUGACGGAGCAAUACCGCGUGAGGGAGGAAGGCUCUUGGGUCGUAAACCUCUUUUCUCAAGGAAGAAUCAAAUGACGGUACUUGAGGAAUCAGCAUCGGCUAACUCCGUGCCAGCAGCCGCGGUAAUACGGAGGAUGCAAGCGUUAUCCGGAAUGAUUGGGCGUAAAGCGUCCGCAGGUGGCACAUCAAGUCUGCUGUCAAAGCCCCCAGCUUAACUGGGAAGAGGCGGUGGAAACUGGUGAGCUAGAGAGCAAUAGGGGUAGAGGGAAUUCCCGGUGUAGCGGUGAAAUGCGUAGAGAUCGGGAAGAACACCAGUGGCGAAAGCGCUCUACUAGGUUGCGACUGACACUGAGGGAGCAAAGCUCGGGGAGCGAAUGGGAUUAGAUACCCGCGUCCUUACAAAAA